CCCGCGACCCUGUAUGGGACAGGCGGUUCCGAAAAUGUGUGUGUGUGUGUGUGUGUGUGUGUGUGUGUGUGUGUGUAUCUUAUAAUAGUAAAAAAAAAAAAAUUGGUAGGAGGGUAUCAGGAUUUGUCUAUCCUGUGUUUUAUGCACCUACUUGAACGAUGAACCUCGGUGCAGCAAGUGGUAGGUAACAAAUUAGGUUUACUUGAGAGUCACAUGUCUGCAGCUAUAUCUCUUUCUCUUAAUGUAAUGCAUAAAUUGUACUUCUGCUGAGUUGUGCGUCGCUUUGGACAAAAGCGUCUGCUAAAUGAAUAAAUGUAAAUGUAAAUGAGCAAAUGUUAAUGCUGUUGCCAUCAUUUUAAACAACAGGAAAGGCCAACGGAGCGGCGAGAGCUACCGACAAGAUAAAGAAUAUCUUGAGGUCCCAUGAGGCUCGUGGCUGAUCUGUAGGAUCGUUCAGGCGUGUUUGCUCCCGUGCUGCAGACCCCUCUGGCUCAAAUAAAAUCCCACGUCCCAAGUGAGCGAAGAUGUCAAAACAGCAAAGCCAGUAAUUGCCUUCAGAGAGUCUGGAUGUUUCAGAUCCUAAGGAUGAACAAACCAGAAUAUCUACCGUGAAGUCUGUCGACAGGCUGGCACCCAGAAGUGUCCUGUGGAGCACCUUUUCGCUGCAGCGAUUCUGUGCCAAUUGUUAUAUCCCUCAGACUGAAGCCUCUUCUCCCAGCUCAGGUCAGCUUGUCUCAGCUGGGCUAGCGCCACCGGCAUGUGACCGGACCUGUGGAACCCGAGCCAGUGGGCAGGUGCUGCACCGUGAUUGAGUGCUGAGCGAGGUUUCCUCGGCACACCGAGGGGUUACAAGCUAUUGGCACAAAGCUGGCGUUCAACUGCUGCUCACCUUCAAUGAGUGUGGCUCUUGAGAGAACGGUGGCGGACUCAAGUGCGGCGUGGAGUGUGUGGUUUAUUCAAGGAAUAUCCAAGAGACGGGGUCACAAAACAGGCAAUGGGUCUUCGAGGUGCGAACGUCGUAACAAGGACAAUCCAAAAAGCAAGACACAUGCAGAGAACUCCCAGGAUUGACCAGCUAGGAGAUGGCUGGCUGAGACUUCAGUAUCUAAGAGCAAAUUCCUGUCUGAAUCGUCUAGAGUGACUCUGUCUAAGCCCUGAAGAAGUUUUAAAACACUUCCACCCACAUUUGUGACAGAACUCUCUCUAAUAAAUGUCAUGAUGGACAAGUUGUUUCUGUCUCC
This 1241-nucleotide long non-coding RNA is filed under the name Scleropages formosus (Asian bonytongue). RNAcentral describes it as "lncRNA (ENSSFOG00015024461.1)". The record is from RNAcentral. Lineage: Eukaryota; Metazoa; Chordata; Actinopteri; Osteoglossiformes; Osteoglossidae.